UUUAAAAGUUAGUCUAAAAAGGUACAGCCUUUUAGAAACGGAUACAACCUUGACUAGAGAGUAAAAUUUAACACUACCAUAGUAGGCCUAAAAGCAGCCAUCAAGUUAAGAAAGCGUUAAAGCUCAACUACUAAAUUAAAUAGAUUCCAACUUACAAUAUGAUUAACUCCUAGCCCCAUAUACUGGACUAAUCUAUUAUAGAAUAGAAGCAAUAAUGUUAAUAUGGAGUAACAAGAGAAAAUUUUCUGCCUUGCAUAAGUCUAAGUCAGUGCCUGAUAAUACUCUGACCACUAACAGUCAAUAAAUAAUCCAACAAUAGAACAAUUUAUUGAUUAUACUGUUAACCCAACACAGGAGUGCAUCUAAGGAAAGAUUAAAAGAAGUAAAAGGAACUCGGCAAACACAAACCCCGCCUGUUUACCACAUCACCUCCAGCAUUCCCAGUAUUGGAGGCAUUGCUUGCCCUAGUGACAA
This 474-nucleotide ribosomal RNA is filed under the name Bos taurus (domestic cattle). RNAcentral describes it as "similar to 16S ribosomal RNA". The record is from RNAcentral. Lineage: Eukaryota; Metazoa; Chordata; Mammalia; Artiodactyla; Bovidae.